CGGGCUAACAACGUGCCAGCAGCUGCGGUAAUACGUUGACGAGGGAGCGUUAUUAGUCGUAUUUAGGCGUUAGGAGUGGCUAGACUGUUUAAAAAUAUUUCAAUGAAACCGAAGGUUUUUUCGCAGUGGAUUGAUUUUUUUUUUAAUACUAGAGAGAGAAGUAGGUUCGAAAUGAUUAUUAUUUAGAGAUAAAAUGUGAAUAAAUUCUAAGCAUUCUCAGAAGCCACGGCGUCGUUCUAAUUCUCUCUGACGUCGUACCACUAAAGUUCGAGUAGCGAUUAGGAUUGGAGACCCUAAUAGUUCGGACCCUGAAUUUAUGGGUAUUAAGCUAAUGAAUUUAGACUUAAGUAAAUGCGUAAAUACCUCGCCAGGGGAGUAAGGUUGCAAAGAAUAAACUUAAAAAGAUUGGCGGGAACUUGUAUAAACGGUGAAGUGUGUGGUUUAAUUCGACAAUCCACGUGUAAUCUUACCAGUGUAGCUGUUUUUUUAAAAACCUCGUAAAUUGAGUUAUGUGAUUAGAGAAACGAGAGGUACUGCAUGGCUGUCGUCAGUUUGUGUUGUAAAAUGGGAUAUUAAGUUAUCAAACAAACGCAACCCUCAUAUUGAAGAAAAAAUCUUUUUUUAUUGAAGAUACUACAGCUUAAUAAAAUUAUUUUUUCUUUAAUAACGUUGUAAUAAUUACAUUAAAUAAUUAUUAUUGGGAAGAAGAGGCUGAAGUCAAGUCAUUAUGGUCUUAAUAUGCUGGGCUACACACGCGCUGCAAAGCUGAAAACAAAACGAGGCAACACCGAAAUGUGAAGCAAUUCGUAAAAAAUCAGCCUAGUUCUAAUUGAAGAUUGAAACUCAUUUUCAUGAAGAUGGAAUCGUCUGUAAUCGUAAAAAAGAAUGUUACGGUGAAUAAGAAAUCAAGUUUUGCACACACCGCCCAUCACGCUCGGAGAA
RNAcentral lists this ribosomal RNA (942 nucleotides) under Bakuella subtropica. Its description in RNAcentral is "12S ribosomal RNA". It matches the Rfam family "Bacterial small subunit ribosomal RNA", at positions 493 to 1410 of the family's 1533-position model. The record is from RNAcentral. Lineage: Eukaryota; Ciliophora; Spirotrichea; Urostylida; Bakuellidae.